UACGUAGGGAGCAAGCGUUGUCCGGAAUCAUUGGGCGUAAAGCGCGCGUAGGUGGCCUCAUAAGUCCGCUGUGAAAGUCAAAGGCUCAACCUUUGAAAGCCGGUGGAUACUGUGGGGCUAGAGUUCGGCAGGGGAGACUGGAAUUCCUGGUGUAGCGGUGAAAUGCGCAGAUAUCAGGAGGAACACCGGUGGCGAAGGCGGGUCUCUGGGCCGAUACUGACACUGAGGAGCGAAAGCGUGGGGAGCGAACAGG
Molecule: ribosomal RNA, 253 nt
Filed under: uncultured bacterium
Lineage: Bacteria
Description: partial 16S ribosomal RNA
Rfam family: Bacterial small subunit ribosomal RNA
Source: RNAcentral